GGAGAGGUGGCCGAGAGGUUUAAGGCGGCGGUUUGCUAAACCGUUAUACGGUUCAAUAUCGUAUCAAGGGUUCGAAUCCCUUUCUCUCCACCA
RNAcentral lists this transfer RNA (93 nucleotides) under Orientia tsutsugamushi. Its description in RNAcentral is "tRNA-Ser(gct)". It matches the Rfam family "tRNA". From Rfam's summary of the family: Transfer RNA (tRNA) molecules are approximately 80 nucleotides in length. Their secondary structure includes four short double-helical elements and three loops (D, anti-codon, and T loops). The record is from RNAcentral. Lineage: Bacteria; Pseudomonadati; Pseudomonadota; Alphaproteobacteria; Rickettsiales; Rickettsiaceae.